RNAcentral lists this ribosomal RNA (1369 nucleotides) under uncultured bacterium. RNAcentral describes it as "bacterial SSU rRNA". It matches the Rfam family "Bacterial small subunit ribosomal RNA", at positions 28 to 1381 of the family's 1533-position model. The record is from RNAcentral.
GAUGAACGCUGGCGGCGUGCCUAAUACAUGCAAGUCGAGCGAACGGACGAGAAGCUUGCUUCUCUGAUGUUAGCGGCGGACGGGUGAGUAACACGUGGAUAACCUACCUAUAAGACUGGGAUAACUUCGGGAAACCGGAGCUAAUACCGGAUAAUAUUUUGAACCGCAUGGUUCAAAAGUGAAAGACGGUCUUGCUGUCACUUAUAGAUGGAUCCGCGCUGCAUUAGCUAGUUGGUAAGGUAACGGCUUACCAAGGCAACGAUGCAUAGCCGACCUGAGAGGGUGAUCGGCCACACUGGAACUGAGACACGGUCCAGACUCCUACGGGAGGCAGCAGUAGGGAAUCUUCCGCAAUGGGCGAAAGCCUGACGGAGCAACGCCGCGUGAGUGAUGAAGGUCUUCGGAUCGUAAAACUCUGUUAUUAGGGAAGAACAUAUGUGUAAGUAACUGUGCACAUCUUGACGGUACCCUAUCAGAAGGCCACGGCUAACUACGUGCCAGCAGCCGCGGUAAUACGUAGGUGGGCAGCGUUAUCCGAANUUAUUGGGCGUAAAGCGCGCGUAGGGCGGUUUUUUAGUCUGAUGUGAAAGCCCACGGCUCAACCGUGGAGGGUCAUUGGAAACUGGAAAACUUGAGUGCAGAAGAGGAAAGUGGAAUUCCAUGUGUAGCGGUGAAAUGCGCAGAGAUAUGGAGGAACACCAGUGGCGAAGGCGACUUUCUGGUCUGUAACUGACGCUGAUGUGCGAAAGCGUGGGGAUCAAACAGGAUUAGAUACCCUGGUAGUCCACGCCGUAAACGAUGAGUGCUAAGUGUUAGGGGGUUUCCGCCCCUUAGUGCUGCAGCUAACGCAUUAAGCACUCCGCCUGGGGAGUACGACCGCAGGGUUGAAACUCAAAGGAAUUGACGGGGACCCGCACAAGCGGUGGAGCAUGUGGUUUAAUUCGAAGCAACGCGAAGAACCUUACCAAAUCUUGACAUCCUUUGACAACUCUAGAGAGCCUUCCCCUUCGGGGGACAAAGUGACAGGUGGUGCAUGGUUGUCGUCAGCUCGUGUCGUGAGAUGUUGGGUUAAGUCCCGCAACGAGCGCAACCCUUAAGCUUAGUUGCCAUCAUUAAGUUGGGCACUCUAAGUUGACUGCCGGUGACAAACCGGAAGAAAGUGGGGAUGACGUCAAAUCAUCAUGCCCCUUAUGAUUUGGGCUACACACGUGCUACAAUGGGACAUACAAAGGGCAGCGAAACCGCGAGGGUCAAGCAAAUCCCAUAAAGUUGUUCUCAGUUCGGAUUGUAGUCUGCAACUCGACUACAUGAAGCUGGAAUCGCUAGUAAUCGUAAAUCAGCAUGCUACGGUGAAUACUUCCCCGGGUCU